UGCUUACACAUGCAAGUCGAACGGAAAGGCCCUUCGGGGUACUCGAGUGGCGAACGGGUGAGUAACACGUGGGUGAUCUGCCCUGCACUUUGGGAUAAGCCUGGGAAACUGGGUCUAAUACCGAAUAUGACCGCGCACUUCCUGGUGUGUGGUGGAAAGCUUUUGCGGUGUGGGAUGGGCCCGCGGCCUAUCAGCUUGUUGGUGGGGUAAUGGCCUACCAAGGCGACGACGGGUAGCCGGCCUGAGAGGGUGACCGGCCACACUGGGACUGAGAUACGGCCCAGACUCCUACGGGAGGCAGCAGUGGGGAAUAUUGCACAAUGGGCGCAAGCCUGAUGCAGCGACGCCGCGUGAGGGAUGACGGCCUUCGGGUUGUAAACCUCUUUCAAUAGGGACGAAGCGCAAGUGACGGUACCUAUAGAAGAAGGACCGGCCAACUACGUGCCAGCAGCCGCGGUAAUACGUAGGGUCCGAGCGUUGUCCGGAAUUACUGGGCGUAAAGAGCUCGUAGGUGGUUUGUCGCGUUGUUCGUGAAAACUCACAGCUUAACUGUGGGCGUGCGGGCGAUACGGGCAGACUAGAGUACUGCAGGGGAGACUGGAAUUCCUGGUGUAGCGGUGGAAUGCGCAGAUAUCAGGAGGAACACCGGUGGCGAAGGCGGGUCUCUGGGCAGUAACUGACGCUGAGGAGCGAAAGCGUGGGGAGCGAACAGGAUUAGAUACCCUGGUAGUCCACGCCGUAAACGGUGGGUACUAGGUGUGGGUUUCCUUCCUUGGGAUCCGUGCCGUAGCUAACGCAUUAAGUACCCCGCCUGGGGAGUACGGCCGCAAGGCUAAAACUCAAAGAAAUU
RNAcentral lists this ribosomal RNA (850 nucleotides) under Mycobacterium sp. I11A-02594. RNAcentral describes it as "bacterial SSU rRNA". It matches the Rfam family "Bacterial small subunit ribosomal RNA", at positions 45 to 911 of the family's 1533-position model. Lineage: Bacteria; Bacillati; Actinomycetota; Actinomycetes; Mycobacteriales; Mycobacteriaceae. The record is from RNAcentral.